UACGUAGGGUGCAAGCGUUAAUCGGAAUUACUGGGCGUAAAGCGUGCGCAGGCGGAUUUGUAAGUCUGUCGUGAAAGCCCCGGGCUCAACCUGGGAAUUGCGAUGGAGACUGCAAGGCUAGAAUCUGGCAGAGGGGGGUAGAAUUCCACGUGUAGCAGUGAAAUGCGUAGAGAUGUGGAGGAACACCGAUGGCGAAGGCAGCCCCCUGGGUCAAGAUUGACGCUCAUGCACGAAAGCGUGGGGAGCGAACAGG
RNAcentral lists this ribosomal RNA (253 nucleotides) under uncultured bacterium. Its description in RNAcentral is "partial 16S ribosomal RNA". It matches the Rfam family "Bacterial small subunit ribosomal RNA", at positions 524 to 776 of the family's 1533-position model. The record is from RNAcentral.